GAUGAACGCUGGCGGCGUGCUUAACACAUGCCAGUCGAACGGAAAGGCUCCUGCUUGCAGGGGUACUCGAGUGGCGAACGGGUGAGUAACACGUGGGUGAUCUGCCCUUCACUUCGGGAUAAGCCUGGGAAACUGGGUCUAAUACCGGAUAGGACGAUGGUUUGGAUGCCAUUGUGGAAAGUUUUUCGGUGUGGGAUGAGCUCGCGGCCUAUCAGCUUGUUGGUGGGGUAAUGGCCCACCAAGGCGUCGACGGGUAGCCGGCCUGAGAGGGUGUACGGCCACAUUGGGACUGAGAUACGGCCCAGACUCCUACGGGAGGCAGCAGUGGGGAAUAUUGCACAAUGGGCGCAAGCCUGAUGCAGCGACGCCGCGUGGGGGAUGACGGCCUUCGGGUUGUAAACUCCUUUCGCUAGGGACGAAGCGCAAGUGACGGUACCUGGAGAAGAAGCACCGGCUAACUACGUG
This 465-nucleotide ribosomal RNA is filed under the name uncultured bacterium. RNAcentral's name for it is "partial 16S ribosomal RNA". It matches the Rfam family "Bacterial small subunit ribosomal RNA", at positions 28 to 507 of the family's 1533-position model. The record is from RNAcentral.